Long non-coding RNA from Pseudoliparis swirei, 771 nucleotides. RefSeq lists it as uncharacterized. The transcript has 5 exons. Lineage: Eukaryota; Metazoa; Chordata; Actinopteri; Perciformes; Liparidae. The record is from RefSeq and is a predicted model, not a curated record.
GUUGGACAGAAACUUGAAUAUCUGCAACAAGUCACACCUGGGAGUACAGAUGUGACUGGGAGGUGAACAGCAGUCCUCCGUGGCUCUCCCGUCAUCCUUGGAGAUGACAACGCAGACUUCUUCAAGAAUUUGUGUGAGUUUAGGAUGGCAUGAAGCUUCGACUUGACCCUAUGGAAACACAGCAGAUGCCACCAAAGGGUCCUGAUCGGGGACUCUGAUGACCUUCUGGACGUGUCCCACGCCUCCAUUGGGACCCUGACGGUGCUGAAGACAUCGUGGCCUCUCCUCACUCGCUGGACCUGGAGUCCACAACUACUGCCAUCGUUUUGGGAGGAACAGUCGUGAUGGGUGACCGUGAUAAUCUUCCCCGUGCCGUGUGGCUACUCUUCGGACUUAUUUACCCCUGAAUUUGGAGUAUCCUCAACGAGUGAGGAACACCUUCUGAAUUUAUUCAUAGAGUGCUUCUCACUUGGACCAAAAACCCUAAAAUACAAUCACUCAAAAAUCUACUGAUGCCAUAAGGGACUGUGUUCAUGAUGUGCAGUCAGGCCCGAGAACUUCACCCUUCUAUCUCCAAUAGAACUCUUUUAUAGAAAAUGUCUGUUUUUGUUGUUUUUCUGUAGUGAAAUUUAGCAAAUGCCGAAAACGCUGUGUUCAUCAUAUUUCUGCGUUACAAAACCUAAUCUGGCAACAUGUUCAGCGUUUUAAGCACGUUGUUUGAGUUUUAAAACAUGUGUUUUUCUUCUAAAUAAACGUUGUCUUCCAUUGUAA